RNAcentral lists this ribosomal RNA (856 nucleotides) under uncultured bacterium. RNAcentral describes it as "bacterial SSU rRNA". It matches the Rfam family "Bacterial small subunit ribosomal RNA", at positions 37 to 915 of the family's 1533-position model. The record is from RNAcentral.
UGGCGCGUGCUUACCAUGCAGUCGAGCGAUGAAGUUCCCUUCGGGGAACGGAUUAGCGGCGGACGGGUGAGUAACACGUGGGUAACCUGCCUCAAAGUGGGGGAUAGCCUUUCGAAAGGAAGAUUAAUACCGCAUAAUAUCUUUUUAUUGCAUGAUAGAAAGAUUAAAGGAGCAAUCCGCUUUGAGAUGGACCCGCGGCGCAUUAGCUAGUUGGUGAGGUAACGGCUCACCAAGGCGACGAUGCGUAGCCGACCUGAGAGGGUGAUCGGCCACAUUGGGACUGAGACACGGCCCAGACUCCUACGGGAGGCAGCAGUGGGGAAUAUUGCGCAAUGGAGGAAACUCUGACGCAGCAACGCCGCGUGAGUGAUGAAGGUCUUCGGAUUGUAAAGCUCUGUCUUUAGGGACGAUAAUGACGGUACCUAAGGAGGAAGCCACGGCUAACUACGUGCCAGCAGCCGCGGUAAUACGUAGGUGGCAAGCGUUGUCCGGAUUUACUGGGCGUAAAGCAUGCGUAGGCGGAUACUUAAGUGGGAUGUGAAAUCCCGGGGCUUAACCCCGGUGCUGCAUUCCAAACUGGGUAUCUAGAGUGCAGGAGAGGAAAGCGGAAUUCCUAGUGUAGCGGUGAAAUGCGUAGAGAUUAGGAAGAACACCAGUGGCGAAGCGGCUUUCUGGACUGUAACUGACGCUGAGGCAUGAAAGCGUGGGUAGCAAACAGGAUUAGAUACCCUGGUAGUCCACGCCGUAAACGAUGGGUACUAGUGUCGGGGUUUCGUUACCUCGGUGCCGCAGUUAACACAUUAAGUACCCCGCCUGGGGAGUACGAUCGCAAGAUUAAAACUCAAAGGAAUUGACG